Molecule: ribosomal RNA, 462 nt
Filed under: Streptococcus sp. oral taxon 070
Lineage: Bacteria; Bacillati; Bacillota; Bacilli; Lactobacillales; Streptococcaceae
Description: bacterial SSU rRNA
Rfam family: Bacterial small subunit ribosomal RNA
Source: RNAcentral
GACGAACGCUGGCGGCGUGCCUAAUACAUGCAAGUAGAACGCUGAAGCUUGGUGCUUGCACCGAGCGGAUGAGUUGCGAACGGGUGAGUAACGCGUAGGUAACCUGCCUGGUAGCGGGGGAUAACUAUUGGAAACGAUAGCUAAUACCGCAUAAAAUUGAUUAUCGCAUGACAAUCAAUUGAAAGGUGCAAAUGCAUCACUACCAGAUGGACCUGCGUUGUAUUAGCUAGUUGGUGGGGUAACGGCUCACCAAGGCGACGAUACAUAGCCGACCUGAGAGGGUGAUCGGCCACACUGGGACUGAGACACGGCCCAGACUCCUACGGGAGGCAGCAGUAGGGAAUCUUCGGCAAUGGACGGAAGUCUGACCGAGCAACGCCGCGUGAGUGAAGAAGGUUUUCGGAUCGUAAAGCUCUGUUGUAAGAGAAGAACGAGUGUGAGAGUGGAAACUUCACACUGGAC